Molecule: ribosomal RNA, 246 nt
Filed under: uncultured bacterium
Lineage: Bacteria
Description: partial 16S ribosomal RNA
Rfam family: Bacterial small subunit ribosomal RNA
Source: RNAcentral
GAUCCUGGCUCAGAUUGAACGCUGGCGGCAGGCUUAACACAUGCAAGUCGAGCGGGCGAGGUUGCUUCGGUAACUGAGCUAGCGGCGGACGGGUGAGUAAUGCUUAGGAAUCUGCCUAUUAGUGGGGGACAACAUUCCGAAAGGAAUGCUAAUACCGCAUACGCCCUACGGGGGAAAGCAGGGGAUCUUCGGACCUUGCGCUAAUAGAUGAGCCUAAGUCAGAUUAGCUAGUUGGUGGGGUAAAGG